UAAGGUUUAUAUGCACGCAUGGAUUUAAAAGAAAGAAUAUAUGUGUUUAAAGGUAAGUGAUACAUAUGUACAUACAUAAUAAUAUAAAUGAAACCAAUAUUUAAAAUGUACAAAACAUAAUACUAGGAUUGCUACAAGAAACAGUUUACAAAUAAUAAAAUAAUGAUUACCCAAGGUGGUUUAAAAAUUAAAAUUAAACUAAACAAGAAGGGAAAAUUAGGAAAUAAAAACUAUAAUAACGGCAGAGACCCAUAUGUCGUGCGCGCGAAUGGAGAGGGACUAAAACUGGGAAUAUGCCAAAUCUCGAAGUGCUGCGUUUGAGCAUGGACCCCAUUGCAAAUGAGCGCUAAAGACAAGUCUAAAUUUAAAUAAAUGAAACAAGAAUGUGGGUUGAUUUAAACAAGGCGCUAAAAAAAGGGGGACCGAUAUUGCAAAUCGCCCUCAGUGACCAAACGCGCGGAUCUAGACCGUGUGAGGGUCGGGUCAUCGGGCCACAACUCCUCAAACACUGUCAUUUUGAGACCAUUAGUCUGGCCUAAACGGCGCCGUGCAGAGGUCCACUAUAACUACCGAAACUAAACCCUAAGACACUAGCAACCAUUCACAGAAAACAAAAAAGGAAAGAACCUAGGGCGCUCUCUCAAUUCUCCGCCGACCAACAGCCUUUCAAAGGUCUGUUCCUCUGCCCAUCCUUUUGACUCAUGUGAGAGUCAAUCAAGGCCUCCUUGAGUCGAAGGGCUCAUGAGCUUCGUUUGUAGCCCCGAAUCGCCACUUAGCUUCAAUCAUGGUGAAACAAGCGUGGAUUCAAGGGCCUCAAAUGCAGGUGAGCGUCGUUUUCCAUUUUUAUUUACAUUCAAUCAAGAAAGGGGCAGAUGGGAAGAUAAGAGAGAAAUAAGGGACGAAGAUUGCGAGUAAAUCACCUUCUUUUUCGUUUUCUAUUGCUUCUGUUUGCGUAAAUGCGCGUAACCCGUUACAAGCAAUUCUCUUCAGGCUUUAUAGCCGAGAGACAAAAGAGAAAAGAAAAGAAAAAAAUGAAAAUGAAAAAUCAUUUCUUUGUUUUCUUGCACGUAUUUGCUGUUGUGGUUUGUCCUUUUUUUUGGCAGGUACAGGUGUGCGCUGGCGUACGGGGCGUGCUGGCUGCUGAGACGCUGGUAUCGUACGGAGGGCGGGCGUGGCACGACGUGGUUGCUGUUCGUGAAGGCUGCGGCGCGAGGACCCCUUUUGCCCUAGGGUUUGCCGAAGCUUAGCUUGGGUUUCGGGCUGUUUGGGUCUGUUCCAGUUAUUGGGCCCUUAUAUUUGGGCUAUGGGGCUACUGGUUUUUUUUUUUGUAAUUGGACUAAAGUAUUAGUAAUAGGGUCUUGCAAUUGGACUUAUGCUAUGUAAUUGGAAAGUAUUUAAGGGACUGUUAUAAUUUUAUUUAUUUUAUGAUUUUUUUGGUUUAUCUGGGCCGGGCAAAUUUGGCCCAUUACAUUCCUCUUCAACCUUUUUGAGUUAUUUUCCUUUUCACUUCGGGUUCUUUAUCGCUCUUGAAGUUUUUACCUGAUCAAGAAUGCAAAAUUGAUUUUUUUUUAUGUUUGAUGCACAUGUUUAUAGAAAAUCUUGAACCCCAAGACAAAAUCAAUGUUUAAAAUAAGAUCUUUGAAAACCUUUUUCGAACAUUACAAAAACUUGCAAAACAAUCAAAAACUAUCAGAACGAAAAAAUAGAAACUAUUAGAAUAUCAAUCGGCUACACAAUCUCAGAACAAUCUCUGAACAAAAAAUAGAAACUCAAAAAAUCAACAAAAAAUAGAAACAGUAUAUAAGAAUACUAAUCGACUACACAAUCUCAGAAAAAAAAUAGAAAGUUGCAUGCAUGUUAAACUUUAGGGGUUUAGGGGAUUUUAAGCUCAGUUUUUGAAUGACAAAGGGAGGAGGCUCUGGUGAUAGUGGCCUCACUUAGGUUUAACCCUUAAGCCGCGAGGAGGCCACCAUCUCCAUAGAUUUGGUGAUCCCUAAAAGAAGAGAAAAUUUUGGCUAUUUAGGUUUCCAAAUUUUUCUUGAAAGAGAACAAAAUAAAGAUUUUUAAGGAGAAAAAAAAACAAAAAGUAGAGGAUGGAGAAGAAAUAAAAUUUUCGAGUAGUUGCUGCUACUGUUGUUAUCUUCAUCACUAAGUAGCACCAGUUGUUGAGCGGCUACUGCCAUGUCUGUACAUUGGGAAAAAUUUUUGGAGGGGGUAAGGAUGAAAGAAGAAUGGAAAAUAAGAAAAGAAAAGAAAAAGUGGAAAAGGAAAAAGAGGGGAAAAAAAAAACAAAAAAAGAAGGCUAAAUAGGAUACCACGUAGUGGUGUGCGAUUGGUCAGCGUUGCCACGUCAGCAAAAAAAUUAACGCCACUAGUAUUAGGUACCAAACUAGUGGAUGGAAAAAGAGUUC
This 2411-nucleotide long non-coding RNA is filed under the name Gossypium barbadense (sea-island cotton). RNAcentral's name for it is "long non-coding RNA (GBAR_LNC012071)". Lineage: Eukaryota; Viridiplantae; Streptophyta; Magnoliopsida; Malvales; Malvaceae. The record is from RNAcentral.